Molecule: ribosomal RNA, 460 nt
Filed under: uncultured bacterium
Lineage: Bacteria
Description: bacterial SSU rRNA
Rfam family: Bacterial small subunit ribosomal RNA
Source: RNAcentral
GAUGAACGCUAGCAGAACGCUUAACACAUGCAAGUCGAACGAAUAUAUUGUCUUCGGAUAAUAUGUUAGUGGCAAACGGGCGAGUAACGCGUAUCUAACCUGCCCUUGUGUGAGGCAAAACCAUGGAGACAUGGCUAAUUCCUCAUACGCUCUAAGAAAUGAAAAUACUUAGAGGAAAGAUUUAUCGCACAAGGAGGGGGAUGCGUCCUAUCAGGUAGUUGGUGAGGUAAUAGCUCACCAAGCCUAUGACGGGUAGCCGGUCUGAGAGGAUGUCCGGCCGCAAUGGAACUGAGACACGGUCCAUACUCCUACGGGAGGCAGCAGUGGGGAAUAUUGGACAAUGGGCGCAAGCCUGAUCCAGCGAUUCUGCGUGAAGGACGAAGCCUCGUGGGGUGUAAACUUCUUUUCUGGGAGAAGACGAAUGACGGUAUCUCAGGAAUAAGAGACGGCUAACUACGUG